CAACAGGGAUUGCCCUAGUAACGGCGAGUGAAGCGGCAACAGCUCAAAUUUGAAAUCUGGCUCUUUCAGAGUCCGAGUUGUAAUUUGCAGAGGGCGCUUUGGCUUUGGCAGCGGUCCAAGUUCCUUGGAACAGGACGUCACAGAGGGUGAGAAUCCCGUACGUGGUCGCUAGCUAUUGCCGUGUAAAGCCCCUUCGACGAGUCGAGUUGUUUGGGAAUGCAGCUCUAAAUGGGAGGUAAAUUUCUUCUAAAGCUAAAUAUUGGCCAGAGACCGAUAGCGCACAAGUAGAGUGAUCGAAAGAUGAAAAGCACUUUGGAAAGAGAGUCAAACAGCACGUGAAAUUGUUGAAAGGGAAGCGCUUGCAGCCAGACUUGCUUGCAGUUGCUCAUCCGGGCUUUUGCCCGGUGCACUCUUCUGCAGGCAGGCCAGCAUCAGUUUGGGCGGUGGGAUAAAGGUCUCUGUCACGUACCAUCCUUCGGGAUGGCCAUAUAGGGGAGACGUCAUACCACCAGCCUGGACUGAGGUCCGCGCAUCUGCUAGGAUGCUGGCGUAAUGGCUGUAAGCGGCCCGUCUUGAAACACGGACCAAGGAGUCUAACAUCUAUGCGAGUGUUUGGGUGUCAAGCCCGAGCGCGUAAUGAAAGUGAACGGAGGUGGGAACCCGCAAGGGUGCACCAUCGACCGAUCCUGAAGUUUACGGAAGGAUUUGAGUAAGAGCAUGGCUGUUGGGACCCGAAAGAUGGUGAACUAUGCUUGAAUAGGGUGAAGCCAGAGGAAACUCUGGUGGAGGCUCGCAGCGGUUCUGACGUGCAAAUCGAUCGUCAAAUUUGGGCAUAGGGGCGAAAGACUAAUCGAACU
RNAcentral lists this ribosomal RNA (857 nucleotides) under Curvularia hawaiiensis. RNAcentral's name for it is "eukaryotic LSU rRNA". It matches the Rfam family "Eukaryotic large subunit ribosomal RNA", at positions 66 to 941 of the family's 3401-position model. The record is from RNAcentral. Lineage: Eukaryota; Fungi; Ascomycota; Dothideomycetes; Pleosporales; Pleosporaceae.